AACGAACGCUGGCGGCAUGCCUAACACAUGCAAGUCGAACGAGACCUUCGGGUCUAGUGGCGCACGGGUGCGUAACGCGUGGGAACCUGCCCUUAGGUUCGGAAUAACUCCCCGAAAGGGGUGCUAAUACCGGAUAAUGUCUUCGGACCAAAGAUUUAUCGCCUUUGGAUGGGCCCGCGUUGGAUUAGCUAGUUGGUAGGGUAAAAGCCUACCAAGGCGACGAUCCAUAGCUGGUCUGAGAGGAUGAUCAGCCACACUGGGACUGAGACACGGCCCAGACUCCUACGGGAAGCAGCAGUGGGGAAUAUUGGACAAUGGGCGAAAGCCUGAUCCAGCAAUGCCGCGUGAGUGAUGAAGGCCUUAGGGUUGUAAAGCUCUUUUACCCGGGAGGAUAAUGACAGUACCGGGAGAAUAAGCUCCGGCUAACUCCGUG
Molecule: ribosomal RNA, 433 nt
Filed under: uncultured bacterium
Lineage: Bacteria
Description: partial 16S ribosomal RNA
Rfam family: Bacterial small subunit ribosomal RNA
Source: RNAcentral